RNAcentral lists this long non-coding RNA (363 nucleotides) under Manihot esculenta (cassava). RNAcentral describes it as "long non-coding RNA (MESC_LNC006861)". The record is from RNAcentral. Lineage: Eukaryota; Viridiplantae; Streptophyta; Magnoliopsida; Malpighiales; Euphorbiaceae.
GAAACGAUAAAUUGGGGAGAUAUUUGGAGUGUAGCGUUUGAGAAGACUGCAGCACAGCAGAGUCCAGCUGGCGGGAAGGAUGAGCUAGAUCACCCCACAUCACGUGCCAUUCACGCCUUCAAUACUUAAGCUAUGAUGAGACAACGCCACGUAUAGAGUAAUAAAUUGUAUGUACACGUGUCGAGAGCCAUAAACGUAUAACCAGAACCACUUUUGUCCUGUCUGUUUUCCAGAACAAGGUCAAUUGAAGCUGUUCUCAGCUCUCCUUUUCUCUCUCUCUAUUCGCGUCGCGACAAAUUCGUAACUAGCAGUACAAAAAUUUUUGUACUCGUAACAGACAAAUUUGGUAUUCCCAAACUGCCC